AUUUAUUCGACUUAAGUUCGAGAGCGGAGAACUCUUUCUCCACUGUGCAAUCUGCCCCGGUCGAUGUCUUACGAACUCAGUCUUAUAAAUCACAUAAGAUCUCUCCUUAUCUAUCAAGGUCGAUAGAUUUCUUGUAGAUGCAUACCCUACUCCUACAGUGAACCUACCGCAGCCAUUCUACACUGCAUUGACCCAUAUGGCUAGAGACCAUGUAUUUGUGCAGUCAAAC
This 229-nucleotide long non-coding RNA is filed under the name Phoenix dactylifera (date palm). RNAcentral describes it as "long non-coding RNA (PDAC_LNC010670)". Lineage: Eukaryota; Viridiplantae; Streptophyta; Magnoliopsida; Arecales; Arecaceae. The record is from RNAcentral.